This 437-nucleotide ribosomal RNA is filed under the name Bifidobacterium dentium. RNAcentral's name for it is "bacterial SSU rRNA". It matches the Rfam family "Bacterial small subunit ribosomal RNA", at positions 28 to 473 of the family's 1533-position model. Lineage: Bacteria; Bacillati; Actinomycetota; Actinomycetes; Bifidobacteriales; Bifidobacteriaceae. The record is from RNAcentral.
GAUGAACGCGGCGGCGUGCUUAACACAUGCAAGUCGAACGGGAUCCCGGGGGUUCGCCUCCGGGUGAGAGUGGCGAACGGGUGAGUAAUGCGUGACCGACCUGCCCCAUACACCGGAAUAGCUCCUGGAAACGGGUGGUAAUGCCGGAUGCUCCGGUUGGAUGCAUGUCCUUCCGGGAAAGAUUCUAUCGGUAUGGGAUGGGGUCGCGUCCUAUCAGCUUGAUGGCGGGGUAACGGCCCACCAUGGCUUCGACGGGUAGCCGGCCUGAGAGGGCGACCGGCCACAUUGGGACUGAGAUACGGCCCAGACUCCUACGGGAGGCAGCAGUGGGGAAUAUUGCACAAUGGGCGCAAGCCUGAUGCAGCGACGCCGCGUGCGGGAUGGAGGCCUUCGGGUUGUAAACCGCUUUUGAUCGGGAGCAAGCCCUUCGGGGUGAG